RNAcentral lists this transfer RNA (59 nucleotides) under Klebsiella pneumoniae. RNAcentral describes it as "tRNA-Val". It matches the Rfam family "tRNA", at positions 8 to 63 of the family's 71-position model. Rfam says of the family: Transfer RNA (tRNA) molecules are approximately 80 nucleotides in length. Their secondary structure includes four short double-helical elements and three loops (D, anti-codon, and T loops). The record is from RNAcentral. RNAcentral also lists the same sequence under 1 other name. Lineage: Bacteria; Pseudomonadati; Pseudomonadota; Gammaproteobacteria; Enterobacterales; Enterobacteriaceae.
UAGCUCAGUUGGUUAGAGCACCACCUUGACAUGGUGGGGGUCGUUGGUUCGAGUCCAAU